This 459-nucleotide ribosomal RNA is filed under the name Triticum aestivum (bread wheat). RNAcentral describes it as "partial small subunit ribosomal RNA". The record is from RNAcentral. Lineage: Eukaryota; Viridiplantae; Streptophyta; Magnoliopsida; Poales; Poaceae.
AUGAAUAUCAAUGGGGAGAUUGGCCCUUACUUCCCCACCCUUUGUGGGGUUAGACAAGGUGAUCCUUUCUCCCCAUUCUUGUUCAAUAUGGUUGUGGACGCGCUUGCCGCUAUCUUGGACAAGGCCAAGACCGCGGGCCAUAUUCGUGGGAUCACCCCUCACCUGGCCAGUGGCUCCGGGAUCUCCAUGCUCCAGUACGCCGACGACACCGUCAUCAUGGUCGAAGGCUCGGAUGCGGACAUCGCUAACCUGAAGUUCCUCCUCUGCUUCCAACAAAUGUCUGGCCUCAAGAUCAACUUCGACAAGAGUGAUGUGAUGGUAAUGGGUUACUCCCCGGCAGAGGCCCUUAACAUUGCUAACCGCCUCAACUGCCGCUCCUUCCCCACGACUUACUUGGCAAUGCCUAUUAGUGACUCACGGCUUACCGUUGCGGACUUGCGCCCAACGAUGGCCAAGUUG